UCCUCUUCUAUUCAUUAUUACAAUUUGCAAGAUCUGCAGAUAGGUGAGCAAAAAGCUAAGGUUUGGUAAGACAUUAAGCUAUUUAAAGCUGAAGAAAAUUGAUUUGGAAAUUCUUGUGAAUCUUGUUGGUGACAAGGAAAGAUAUUUAAAAUCUCACAUGGUGCUAAAAUCUUGGGAUCUUAGAGAAAUUUCUUUUCUGUACACCCUUCAUCCAAAGUUGAAUAUCUCUAUCUCACCCUGACUCCGGAUUGAAUAAGAUUGAUGGUGUUGAAAUUUUAUCGUUCAUAUCUAGAUCAGGUUAUUCUCGACAUUGUUUGAGAGAUACAGAUUGAAAAUGCAAGCCGUACUGGAUAAAAUUGUAGAAGCAAUAGUUGAGCCAGUGAUCCAGUUAGUGGUGGUCCAUGUUGGUUUUCUUUUUCAGUACAAGAAGAAGCUGAGGAACCUGGAAGAUGAAAUUGAAAAGCUUGAAAGGCAGAAAA
Non-coding RNA from Camellia sinensis, 479 nucleotides. The record is from RefSeq and is a predicted model, not a curated record. Lineage: Eukaryota; Viridiplantae; Streptophyta; Magnoliopsida; Ericales; Theaceae.